Molecule: transfer RNA, 76 nt
Filed under: Chrysiogenia bacterium
Lineage: Bacteria; Pseudomonadati; Chrysiogenota; Chrysiogenia
Description: tRNA-Lys
Rfam family: tRNA
About the family: Transfer RNA (tRNA) molecules are approximately 80 nucleotides in length. Their secondary structure includes four short double-helical elements and three loops (D, anti-codon, and T loops). Further hydrogen bonds mediate the characteristic L-shaped molecular structure. tRNAs have two regions of fundamental functional importance: the anti-codon, which is responsible for specific mRNA codon recognition, and the 3' end, to which the tRNAs corresponding amino acid is attached (by aminoacyl-tRNA synthetases). tRNAs cope with the degeneracy of the genetic code in two manners: having more than one tRNA (with a specific anti-codon) for a particular amino acid; and 'wobble' base-pairing, i.e. permitting non-standard base-pairing at the 3rd anti-codon position.
Source: RNAcentral
GGGUCGGUAGCUCAGUUGGUAGAGCACUCGGCUUUUAACCGAUUGGUCCUGGGUUCGAGUCCCAGCCGACCCACCA